Gorilla gorilla gorilla (western lowland gorilla) is the source of this 430-nucleotide long non-coding RNA. RefSeq lists it as uncharacterized. The record is from RefSeq and is a predicted model, not a curated record. NCBI's taxonomy places the organism in Eukaryota, Metazoa, Chordata, Mammalia, Primates, Hominidae. The transcript has 4 exons.
UGUUACUUAGGUUAGCUUUUAUUUUGCUGGAGGCUCUCAGAGGUGCUGCUGCUGGUUGGCAACGCCAUUAAGUCAUAAACUGGCACAGACACUGACGUAAUUUUGCAACUGUACUUCAUCAAACCAAACUUCUUUUUCCUAACUCAAUUUUCUCUCAGGCGAACAGUGGCAUCACAGGAAGAGGCUCUAAUAGGCAUGUGUGGAUGUAAUGAACUGACUUGAAUGUUUCCAGGAGUGCCUGUUACGUGCCAAACUGUUAGGCUUAGCAUUUUCAUGUACAUACAUUCUCAUUCGAUUGUCGGAACAACACAGCGAAGCAGAAGUGUUGGGCAGCUAUGAGGCUCAGAGAAGAGCCCCCCACCCUAGGCCCAUUCCCUUACUCACCCCCGCUUGGCAAGAACACGUGAAGAACUGACAGAAGACGCUGCAG